GCGGAAGAUGUAACGGGGCUAAACCAUGCACCGAAGCUGCGGCAGCGAACGUAUCACUUAAAGCGAUUCAGCGGGUUACGAUUGACGGAGCGAAGCGACGUCAAAGCGUAUACAAAGUCGAGUCGGUUUAAGGAUACGUUCGUUGGGUAGGGGAGCGUUCUGUAAGCCUGUGAAGGUGUGUCGUGAGGCAUGCUGGAGGUAUCAGAAGUGCGAAUGCUGACAUAAGUAACGAUAAAGCGGGUGAAAAGCCCGCUCGCCGGAAGACCAAGGGUUCCUGUCCAACGUUAAUCGGGGCAGGGUGAGUCGACCCCUAAGGCGAGGCCGAAAGGCGUAGUCGAUGGGAAACGGGUUAAUAUUCCCGUACUUGGUGUUACUGCGAAGGGGGGACGGAGAAGGCUAUGUUGGCCGGGCGACGGUUGUCCCGGUUUAAGCGUGUAGGUGUGUGUUCCAGGUAAAUCCGGUUCACUUUAACACUGAGGCGUGACGACGAGGCACUACGGUGCUGAAGCAACAAAUGCCCUGCUUCCAGGAAAAGCCUCUAAGCAUCAGGUAACAUCAAAUCGUACCCCAAACCGACACAGGUGGUCAGGUAGAGAAUACCAAGGCGCUUGAGAGAACUCGGGUGAAGGAACUAGGCAAAAUGGUGCCGUAACUUCGGGAGAAGGCACGCUGACACGUAGGUGAAGUGAUUUACUCAUGGAGCUGAAGUCAGUCGAAGAUACCAGCUGGCUGCAACUGUUUAUUAAAAACACAGCACUGUGCAAACACGAAAGUGGACGUAUACGGUGUGACGCCUGCCCGGUGCCGGAAGGUUAAUUGAUGGGGUCAGCGCAAGCGAAGCUCCUGAUCGAAGCCCCGGUAAACGGCGGCCGUAACUAUAACGGUCCUAAGGUAGCGAAAUUCCUUGUCGGGUAAGUUCCGACCUGCACGAAUGGCG
This 937-nucleotide ribosomal RNA is filed under the name Salmonella enterica. Its description in RNAcentral is "partial 23S ribosomal RNA". It matches the Rfam family "Bacterial large subunit ribosomal RNA", at positions 1163 to 2001 of the family's 2925-position model. Lineage: Bacteria; Pseudomonadati; Pseudomonadota; Gammaproteobacteria; Enterobacterales; Enterobacteriaceae. The record is from RNAcentral.